GUCGCCCAUGGCGCCGGCGUAGAGCAGACGGGCCAGGAACCCCUCAAGCAGACCAGUCCAUGCGUUCUCCAGCGGCUCAGCCGCUUGGGCGAUG
Molecule: transfer RNA, 94 nt
Filed under: Methylopila jiangsuensis
Lineage: Bacteria; Pseudomonadati; Pseudomonadota; Alphaproteobacteria; Hyphomicrobiales; Methylopilaceae
Description: tRNA-Pro
Source: RNAcentral